CAGUAGCCGCGGUGAUACGAAGGGUGCAAGCGUUACUCGGAAUUACUGGGCGUAAAGCGUGCGUAGGUGGUGGUUUAAGUCCGUUGUGAAAGCCCUGGGCUCAACCUGGGAAUUGCAGUGGAUACUGGGUCACUAGAGUGUGGUAGAGGAUAGUGGAAUUUCCGGUGUAGCAGUGAAAUGCGUAGAGAUCGGAAGGAACAUCUGUGGCGAAGGCGACUAUCUGGGCCAACACUGACACUGAGGCACGAAAGCGUGGGGAGCAAACAGGAUUAGAUACCCCAGUAGUCCCUGUCUCUUAUAC
This 301-nucleotide ribosomal RNA is filed under the name uncultured bacterium. RNAcentral's name for it is "partial 16S ribosomal RNA". It matches the Rfam family "Bacterial small subunit ribosomal RNA", at positions 509 to 807 of the family's 1533-position model. The record is from RNAcentral.